GUAGCACCUUAGAGACCAACUAAGUUUGUUCUUGGUAUGAGCUUUCAUGUGCAUGCUAAGAACAAACUUAGUUGGUCUCUAAGGUGCUAC
Podarcis lilfordi (Lilford's wall lizard) is the source of this 90-nucleotide non-coding RNA. NCBI's taxonomy places the organism in Eukaryota, Metazoa, Chordata, Lepidosauria, Squamata, Lacertidae. The record is from the annotation of a GenBank genome assembly.